GAUGAACGCUAGCGACAGGCUUAACACAUGCAAGUCGAGGGGCAGCAUAAAAGUAGCAAUACUUUGGUGGCGACCGGCGCACGGGUGAGUAACGCGUAUGCAACCUACCUAUCAGAGGGGAAUAACCCGGCGAAAGUCGGACUAAUACCGCAUAAAACAGGGGCACCGCAUGGUGAUAUUUGUUAAAGAGAUUCGCUGAUAGAUGGGCAUGCGUUCCAUUAGGUAGUUGGUGAGGUAACGGCUCACCAAGCCGACGAUGGAUAGGGGAACUGAGAGGUUGGUCCCCCACACUGGUACUGAGACACGGACUAGACUCCUACGGGAGGCAGCAGUGAGGAAUAUUGGUCAAUGGGCGGGAGCCUGAACCAGCCAAGUCGCGUGAAGGAAGAAGGAUCUAUGGUUCGUAAACUUCUUUUGCAGGGGAAUAAAGUGCAGGACGUGUCCUGUUUUGUAUGUACUCUGAGAAUAAGGAUCGGCUAACUCCGUGCCAGCAGCCGCGGUAAUACGGAGGAUCCGAGCGUUAUCCGGAUUUAUUGGGUUUAAAGGGUGCGUAGGUGGUUUGAUAAGUCAGCGGUGAAAGUUUGCAGCUUAACUGUAAAAAUGCCGUUGAAACUGUCGGACUUGAGUGUAAAUGAGGUAGGCGGAAUGCGUGGUGUAGCGGUGAAAUGCAUAGAUAUCACGCAGAACUCCGAUUGCGAAGGCAGCUUACUAAGCUACAACUGACACUGAAGCACGAAAGCGUGGGGAUCAAACAGGAUUAGAUACCCUGGUAGUCCACGCAGUAAACGAUGAUUACUAGCUGUUUGCGAUACACAGUAAGCGGCACAGCGAAGCGUUAAGUAAUCCACCUGGGGAGUACGCCGGCAACGGUGAAACUCAA
Molecule: ribosomal RNA, 880 nt
Filed under: uncultured bacterium
Lineage: Bacteria
Description: bacterial SSU rRNA
Rfam family: Bacterial small subunit ribosomal RNA
Source: RNAcentral